UCGCUCACUUCUGCAGCACAUACAAUGAAAUUGGAACGAUACAGAGAAGAUUAGCAUGGCCCCUAUGCAGAUGACUCGCAAAUUCGUGAGGCAUUCCAAAUUUUU
This is a small nuclear RNA of Marmota marmota marmota (Alpine marmot), 105 nucleotides long. NCBI's taxonomy places the organism in Eukaryota, Metazoa, Chordata, Mammalia, Rodentia, Sciuridae. The record is from Ensembl.